This 253-nucleotide ribosomal RNA is filed under the name uncultured bacterium. RNAcentral's name for it is "partial 16S ribosomal RNA". It matches the Rfam family "Bacterial small subunit ribosomal RNA", at positions 524 to 776 of the family's 1533-position model. The record is from RNAcentral.
UACGAAGGGGGCUAGCGUUGCUCGGAAUCACUGGGCGUAAAGGGCGCGUAGGCGGAUCUUUAAGUCGGGGGUGAAAGCCUGAGGCUCAACCUCAGAAUUGCCUUCGAUACUGGAGAUCUUGAGACCGGAAGAGGUGAGUGGAACUGCGAGUGUAGAGGUGAAAUUCGUAGAUAUUCGCAAGAACACCAGUGGCGAAGGCGGGUCUCUGGACAGUUCCUGACGCUGAGGCACGAAGGCCAGGGGAGCAAACGGG